Long non-coding RNA from Mytilus trossulus (common blue mussel), 613 nucleotides. RefSeq lists it as uncharacterized. The transcript is spliced from 3 exons. Lineage: Eukaryota; Metazoa; Mollusca; Bivalvia; Mytilida; Mytilidae. The record is from RefSeq and is a predicted model, not a curated record.
CAUGAAUAAACGAUAGCCAAUCAAAGGGUUUUACAUGUAAUUGUUAAAAGGAUAAUACAUCUUUACUUGUCGUUUCGAUAGUCUGGUUGCAGUUAAAUUGCACGGAAUACAAAAAUGAAUAUCCAAACAACUUUCCUGAGUAUAUUCGUUUGUGUAUUGUUACCAAAGAGUUUUGAUGGAAGACUGACUUACAACUAUUUUGAUGAGAUGGCGCAAUCUUACUGUGCGAGUCAGUCAUGAGGCUGGGUAUUUGCUCUUCGGCGAGACUGUGCGAGGGGAGCGGAUACUUGCAACAAUAUAUGUGCUAGUGCAAAGAAUGCAAUACUGGCUUCAAUAAGUAAUCAGAGAACACGAGUCAGUUGCUUCGAUGGAUACCAUGUUGGUAAAAAUCAUAAUAGAAUCCGAGAUAACCCAUCGACUGCACAGCCUGAUUCUAAUACAGUUAUCUUCAAGACCUACGGUUACGGUAGUGGUGGAUGUACCUGGAAAGCUAACCAUUGUGGUCCAAACUACUGCUGUUGCAAAGCUUUCUAAAAGGUCUGAGAAAAUACAAUCUCAGAAUCGGAAUCCUUUUAUAUUGUCUAUUAAGUGUCAAUAAAUCUUCACCCGUUAG